GACAAAGACUGACGCUCAGGUGCGAAAGCGUGGGGAGCAAACAGGGAUUAGAUACCCCUGGUAGUUCACGCCGUAAACGAUGUCGACUUGGAGGUUGUGCCCUUGAGGCGUGGCUUCCGGAGCUAACGCGUUAAGUCGACCGCCUGGGGAGUACGGCCGCAAGGUUAAAACUCAAAUGAAUUGACGGGGGCCCGCACAAGCGGUGGAGCAUGUGGUUUAAUUCGAUGCAACGCGAAGAACCUUACCUACUCUUGACAUCCAGAGAACUUUCCAGAGAUGGAUUGGUGCCUUAAAAAAACUCUGAGACAGGUGCUGCAUGGCUGUCGUCAGCUCGUGUUGUGAAAUGUUGGGUUAAGUCCCGCAACGAGCGCAACCCUUAUCCUUUGUUGCCAGCGGUCCGGCCGGGAACUCAAAGGAGACUGCCAGUGAUAAACUGGAGGAAGGUGGGGAUGACGUCAAGUCAUCAUGGCCCUUACGAGUAGGGCUACACACGUGCUACAAUGGCGCAUACAAAGAGAAGCGACCUCGCGAGAGCAAGCGGACCUCAUAAAGUGCGUCGUAGUCCGGAUUGGAGUCUGCAACUCGACUCCAUGAAGUCGGAAUCGCU
Molecule: ribosomal RNA, 607 nt
Filed under: Enterobacter sp. NAU10
Lineage: Bacteria; Pseudomonadati; Pseudomonadota; Gammaproteobacteria; Enterobacterales; Enterobacteriaceae
Description: bacterial SSU rRNA
Rfam family: Bacterial small subunit ribosomal RNA
Source: RNAcentral